RNAcentral lists this ribosomal RNA (510 nucleotides) under Triticum aestivum (bread wheat). RNAcentral's name for it is "partial small subunit ribosomal RNA". Lineage: Eukaryota; Viridiplantae; Streptophyta; Magnoliopsida; Poales; Poaceae. The record is from RNAcentral.
AUGGGUGCAGCCAAAGCAUGGAAAUGGUUCAAGAACUUUCAUCCCCUGCUUGUUGUGGCAUCUGGUCAUGACAUUAAAGAUGAAUUGUCUCCUGGAGGGGAGGUGGCAUUAAACCUAAUGAGAUGCAUAGAGCGAAUGCCAAGUGGAAAGGAACGAAGGAUGUACCGUGAGAAGAAGAUUAUGAUGAUACUUGACCCAACGGAGACAGAACCGGCAGAUGAGAUAAAAAGGAAGCAUGAGGGACUGGCAAAGCAAUUCCAUGUUUGGUUCUGUACCCUUUUCAACGAUAUAUUCGGUGCUGGGUUGGUUGAGACGACCGGAUGGAAAUUCGUGUACCCUUUGGAGGAUAGUGGGGGUUUAUGUCGUGCACUGCAUUCUUCAGUUCACUGGUCUGUACCUGAGAUCUACUCUAAACCAGGAGCAGAUCGAGUAAGUAUUUAUCUUUUGACCCAAAAAAACUGCAGCUCAUCCCUUGGGUUGCAGUGGGGUGAAAGGUGGCCUUCAUAUUAG